Non-coding RNA from Petromyzon marinus (sea lamprey), 9287 nucleotides. The record is from RefSeq and is a predicted model, not a curated record. Lineage: Eukaryota; Metazoa; Chordata; Hyperoartia; Petromyzontiformes; Petromyzontidae.
GCAGGUUUGCGUGACGCACAUGACCCUUGCCGUUCUUCUCUACGAGCGCAAGAAGUAGAAGCGACGGUAAUCUGCAUGCCAAAAACACACCCUCUUCUGUCUCCAGUAAAGGUAAAAGGAUAAUGAUAAUCGCAAUAAUAGCAAGAGCCCCCUAUCCUGAUUUGAGCUCUGCCCUAUGGCGUGGGUGUUACAGUAGCGUGUGUGUGUGUGUAUUGAUCAUUGAGCCCUGCAAGUUAUAAACACCGGGUUCAAGGGGGCUUGUUCAGCAAAGGGCCAUAUUACACCCAUCUCAAGGCCAUAAUUGUCCCUUUGAAAUUAUACAAAGGGGAGUGUUCUAUAUGUCACGGGGAGCCAAAAAUUACGUGUUGUUUAAAAUGAGCAUCAAGACCUGACAGUAAAUGAAUGCUUAUUAGUCCGAAUUUGACACCUGCUUUGAAUGGCCUGCCUGUUUUAGGCUGACCGUUUACAUUUUUUUACAUACUGUCUUAAUAUUAGUAAAAUGCAUGAAUAUUUCUGCUCGCUAUUUCAUUUUUUUUCUUUCUUGCAGCUCAACAUUUGCAGCUUCUUUAGAAAACGAUACAAGCAUCUGUUGUUGUUUUUGUUUUACCUUGAUUUGCACAAUAAUAAGGUGCGUGACGUCAUUUAUGGAUGGCCCUCUGGUACGGUUCAACUUGUUAAUAACAAUGCAUUAACCGCACAUACCGGGCCUCAGAAACAUCAACGUUGCGAUCGCCGAGAGGCGAUAGACGCCGGAGAACACCGCCGUCCAUGCCGACCGACAGCUGCUACAGCUGUGUCCAGUCGAGGCGCGGCGUGAGACCGAGUGGCGACCACAAGGAUCCACCUGGCGUGCCUCGGCGCACACCUGGCUGUACGAGAUCGAGAUGGACAUUGACUUCUCCCCUUCAGAGGCACGGACUGCUGCGGGUGAGCUUUAAAAGCGCAACGACCCCGAUUUUUUUAAAAUCUAGUCAAGCACAAAUCGUAGUCGUAGCAACCAGCCUCCGUGGAGGGCAACCCGCAUCUGUUGACGUUUCACAAAUUGGGGACUCGAUUCAUUGACCCCCGAACCAAUGAUAAGCUGAGUCACCCGAAGACUCGGACAUAAAUUCGCCCAACUUUUCCACUUGUCAGUCGAGCGUGCGCAAACCAAGCGUUCCCCCUGGCAGAUUAUUGUUGUUCAAUUGUGGCGUUGAUAAUCUAGUGUUCUGUGCAUCAGUGUAUCGCGAAGGUAUUGGUAUUCGUUUCGUAAAGCAACAUGACUGUUUGGUCAACGAUUCCUUCACUGUCCACCCCAAUCAGAGGCUCCCUGCCGCUGACGCGUGUGGUCUACGAGAUGGAUUUUAUUUACUAAGUAUAGCAGCAUUGACAGCAUAACUUGAUAUCCCUUGACCUAUUGAAUUGCUGCCUAUGCAGACGGAUGACAUUUUUUUUCGAUAAAUGGUAGUUAAGCGCAGCGUUACAUGCACCGAAGUGCAUGGUUUGAUUGAUGUUUUCGGUUCCUCUUAUCCAAAUGAAAUGAAAAAUCACUUCACCUCAUGUCGUUAAGCAUAUACAGAUUCCUAUCUCUCACGCGGGUAUUUACGCGCGUUAUUGAAAUAGGCAGAUGUUUUUUUUCUUCUUCUGACGAGCAAUUAAAACGUUGACGUUUCGAAAUGUUGUCCAUUCAAGAAAAAAGGGAAAAACUAUGCUUCUUGAAGAACUUCACGUUGAACGUGAAGACUUUGGGAAGCAGAAUAUGUUUCAACUUUCAUACUGGGAAAGUCUCCGAGUCGCUUAAACAAGUACAGUCCUUUAAAAAAUUUUUUAACCAUAAUUAUUAAACAAAAAUGUAAUUAAAACCUUUUCUGGAAUUUUAUAUAUAAAAAAAUCAGCUGGCUUGUGAAGCUCGUUGUGAUAUAAUGUAUAUAUGUAUUAAUUCAUGCAGUGUGGAAGUAAAUACAAUAGUCUAUGGAGUAGAAAAAUAAAUUACAUCAUAUGUAAAUUGACAGACAUAAAACCGAGCAGACGGAGUGAUGAAAUCAGCUCAUGUGCCAGUGCAAGUUGGAUGACUACAUCGUAGGAUUGCGAGAGAUGGGGGCAAGCAUGGGGAGACUUUCACCCAUCGGUGAAUUGACCAAGGCUGAUGAUGACGUGUAUCUAAUUUUGUGGUAGCACAUUGCACUGUGAAUCUGGUGACCCAAAUUUGAUUCCAAAACAUGGCUAACAUCGGUGGCAAGUGAUAUUAGAAUCAGUCAUAGGCCUUCCCCCUUCGCAAUUCCCCACAACGGCAUUGUGAAUAAUGACCAACCGACCCCCACGACCGAUAUGACAUGGGGAGGCCUUCAUUCGGCAGUAGAUUGACAAAAAGUGCUGUCAAUUAUUCUCGUUAAAUUAUACAUAUAAAAUCUGCGUGAGUGUAAUCAGUGUGUUGAGUUAAAUCAUCCUCUGGUUGGAUGACGAUGUUACUGUCUGAUAUUUUCUCCAACAUGUUCUCCACCAUGAAUCCAAUUUUAGAUAUAUUUGGAAUAGUGUAGAUCAUGUUAAGAGUGGAAACUCUCCCGAGGAGAAUGAAUCCACGCUUGUGCCCUCGGGGAAAGCUACGAGAACAUGCCACUCAAGAAUGAAGGUGUAAAGUUGUUUGUGUUGUUGUGUCAAGAUCAGUGUCAUUGUGUGGAUAGGCACACAGUAAUAUAUAAAAAAAACAAAUAUCCAAACACCUCUCCAUACCAAAAAAAAACCCACUAAACCAUGCAUUAUCGUAGCUUUGUUGGCUGGUGCUUUGGGUCAUUGGAUUGCCGAGUGUCCAGUGUGCGCAUCAAUGAAGCAGUUUGAAUGAGGUCAAUGGUUCAAAUCCCAGAGCCAGACAAUAAUUCUGUGGUGCUGUUUGAAAAGAAUGCAAUUUUGCUGUAAAGUCCAAGAUGCUGACAUCAUUUGCAGACAUGACCAUUGGCACGGCUCAAACUUAAUAAUAAUAAUAAAGAGUUUACUCUUGUUUUUCACUAACAAAGUGAAAUAGUGUCCAUCAAACAGUUCUGGUUGUUGGUCAUCUCAAUCACAGUUUUUUUUCCGAUUCAGUGGUGAGAAUUCCACAUUCCUGUGGCGGGAGCCAGUUUUAUCCUUGAAGAAGGGCCCUUGUAUAAAUUCUGCAGUCUCAAUUUAAUGAGCUAUUUUAUCUCAAUAGCAGAAAACAUACAUCGAUCUUGGUCAUUUUGUUUGAGCCAUUAAAUAAAAAUAAAGAUAACGUGAGACAAACAGGCUCAUGUACAAAGGGGAUGAGAUUUGAACUGAUAUUUUUACACAUGACAGUCCUAACAGUCUUGACGACUUUAAAACUCUAACUGAAGGGAAGCUCUGUGGGUCAGACGAGGAUUUUUUUGUUGUUGCAUAGUGCCUCCCAGGACGGUGACCUCUCUGAAAGGGUCUUUCUCUUCAAAUCCAUUGGUCUGACUGCCUGCUGACAUUUGGGGGCGUUGAGUCUAAACCUGCGCAUCAGCUGCUGUGAGGCAGGGAGGUCGUGACCCCGUCUCAAGCCGUGAAAAUUUGACACCAGAAAACACCUCCGGAGUCGUGCCCAUUCCCAUUUCCAGGCACGCUCCAACGGUGUUGCACGAACAAGCAGAGGAGGGGAAGGGGGGGGCGAAAAAGAACAGAAAAUCGGAGCAUAUCCUCUCUGUGGCCUAUCACUUCUAAAUAGAGCGUGAUGUGUGUGUGUUUUUACAAUGCUAAUGGACAUUACAGAUAAGAGCCAUUUAGCAAAGCGUAUGGCUUGUGUCUUCAAGGAAAGCUGCGCUGUAAAUGUUUAACAAGCCCAGCUGUUCGGACAUUAAUUAAAUAAACCUUACAGCAUAACAGGCGGAAUGGCUAACGUUACAACCUCCUUGCUCUUAUCCUUUAGCUUUGCAUAAAAGAUAAGAUUAGAAGGGCACUGAACUGCAGAAAGCCCUUUUCUAUGGUAUUGUUUUCAGAUGACUAUUUGCACAGCAACCGAAAAAGGGCCCCAUUUCUGUGAACACAGAUAGAGGAGCAGAUGGUUAAUUCUAUUAUUCUAAUUCCUUGGGGGUAUAUCUUACACAGACAAUGUACCUGAGAAGGUUAUGGAGAAGAGAAACAUAAAAACAUGACUUUCAAUAUUAUUAUAAUAAUGAAAAUGUAAAUACUUGUUAUGUUGUUUGCUCUGCAAUGGCGUUUAAGAUUAGUGUAUUUUAUUUUAUUUGUGUAUUGCUUUCUUUGAGAUGAGGGUUGUGUUUUAAAAUGAGCCGACAUGCCAUAUGAUGUUUCCUGGCUCUUGCCACUUCUGUGCGGAGGCUGCUUGAUGGAUCAUACGUGCAAGCGAGCUAUGGUAACAGCUGCUGCAGGAAAGUCAACCCUUAAGUGCCCUAAAUGAGAAUGGGAGCUCAGGUAUCUGGCUUCACAGUAACGUAAUUCAAUACCGAAUGGCAGAAAUCACAUUUAGUCUAAAAGGGCCAGGGUCAGUUACGAUAAAAGGGAGAUGUUUUGAAAAAAUACUUCUUUCAGGAAUGGAUUGAAAUUACAAAAAUAAAAUCACCUGCUGGAAAAUUAUAUAAUUAAUAUUGAAAGCAAAUUCUUUUGGGUCCCACUUAAGACUGGCAAAUAAUGACUAUGCAGGGUACUUUGCUGAGAAGAGUGUGUUUUUAAGCAAAUGAUAAAGUAGCAAGCCAUCUUCCAUUAUACUAUUCACGAACAUCUUUAAUAAGAGGCUUUAAGUGAUUAAAAUACGCUUCCAUUAUUAUGGAGAGCAUUUCUCUCCAAGUGACAGUGGAAUACGUGCAGCUUUAGCAAGUGUACAUCAAUUGCAGUCUCAUAUUACAAAAAAACAACACUCAAUCACAUACAGAAAGAGGAAGACAAGUGUUUCAGGCAAAGGUCUAUUCAUGUCUCCGAAACAAGUGGUGAAAAUUCCACAUUUCCACGGCAAUUGAUGCUAAUUUAAACACAUUGACAAACAAUUUAUAUUUCACCAAAUGCUCGUUUGCAUUUAGAAAUGGUACGGGACACAUUUGUUUAAAAUGUGGAAGUGCUGUCUUUGCCCAGCAUCACUGAUGUUUUUUUUGUUUGUUUCUUCAUCGUUACGAGCGUGAACAUUUGUCCAGGAUGAAAGGGCGAUGGGCCGCCCACCAAAGAAUGGGAGCAGUGCCGCGGCGCUUCGGCAGGUGUAAUAAAACGGUGCUCUGAAGCCACAGCAGCGGCAGCAGCAGUUGACGUGAAGCCUCUUGAGUGCAAGCGGACAACUCGGGGGUGAGCGACAGGCGGGCAGGAGGGGAGGGACAAGAAGAGCCAAGUGGCCCGGCGGGGGAGAAGCGCACGCCGGACCAGCUCUUGGCGCUCAGCAUUUCAGGGUUUUUGGAUGGGCAUAGCACCCAGGGUGAAGGAUGGCAGAAUGAGCCGUGACCGUGGCAUGACAGGUGCAAUUAGUGUGCGAUUAUGAUUUAUCGUGGCACAGUGGGGUUGGGAGGGCCUGUUUAUUGAGUCGGUGGCUGGCGCAGAGGGUGGAGUUGUUUUUUUUUGGAUGGGAGUCUGACUGGUCCACUUGUCUACUCUGGCACAUCCUGCUACCACAACGGCCAUUGAUACGUUGUGCCUCCAAACAGCUCAUUAAGGCCUGACGACAGUGCUGCUAUUGUGUGGACGAGCUCAAUGGCCUGGCUGACAGCGGAAUAAAAUGCUCGGGGUUUUGCGGGUCCGCGAUUACGCUGAACGGAGCAAGUCCUUUAAUGCUCCGUAGCCACUGAAAACAACUGAGUAGUGUCCUCUUCCUUUAAGGAAACAAACCAAAAAAAGUAUCAGUCUUGCACAUUGAUUCUGCACGGCAAUGAGAAUGGCUGGCUUUCUCUUUGUCUUUCUAUCUGGUCGACUAUGUGACUGUCUCCUUGCAUGUUUGUUUACUAUUGUGUCUGUCUAGCUGACUGAACGUACACAUUCCAAUCCCUCUGUCUAUCUGGAUAUCUGUUUGACUGUCAUUCUGGUCAAAAUGUGUCUGGCUAUUUGCGUGGCUUUUGCGCAUGCAACUGUCAUUCAUCUACGUAAUGUCUGUCUGUCCUUUCCACAAGACGUGCAAUUGUUUUCCACCACUCCUUGAUCACUUAGCCUCUCAAUUGGAUGACUCAACCAGAACCAAGGUGAUUGCGUCUAUGUACACUUAAAUACAGGCAAAGUGAAUAGUAUUCACACACUGCGCUAUGUUCCUGUUGAUACAGGUCCAAUGCGUGGCCAUGUGCCAUACACCAUUGUUCAUUUGAGUCUGAACCAGGUCUGGGCAUCCCCUGGAUUGACUUCGCUUGAAAUUAAGUAACUACUAUGUUGAAAUCUCCUGCCAUGCAGGGCAUGACAAGCAAUAUCUAACAGCCAUCGCGACAACAAAUUAAUAUGACUUGUACGUAAAUAUAUCCUCGACAAUAAUUAUUUAAUGGCAUGAAAUGAAAAGGUGAAAGAGAGCCAAUUGGAGUGCUUUUAGAAAGCUGAAAUGUAUUAUAAAAAAAAGUUCCUAUUUGCCUGAAUAAACUUUGUAACCAGUGCAGCACUGCCUGCUCUGAUACAUGGUUCAGAAAAAAAUGGUCAUUAACCAAAACAACUCUAAAACCGAAAAGUGGACUAAGAAGCAGGGAGAGAUGCACGCUUGGCAUUACACUGAGCGACAGUGCAAUGCCGGCAUGAGAGAGCAAAUACGCACGUUGAUGACAUCAUUCAAAGCGUUCAGAAAGCAUUUGGGCUUGGGCAGGACGCGUCGCUGGAAGAGAUGAUAGCACGCGGUGAAGAACAAUGAUGGAGAGGCAUACAAGGAAUGGAACGCGUCCAAGAGGACGUCUACGGAGGAGAUGGAGCAAUUAAAUCAGCUCAUUUACAGGGGUCAGGUGGAUUGUUACAUCGCGUGAUAAUGAGAGAUGCCGGCAGCUUGGGGAAGCCUUCAUCCGACAAUUUAAAAAGUGUUGUAUGUCUGUGUGUUGAACUUCUUUCCCAACGUACGUAGCCAAUCAUGUAAAUCGAAGGUGCGGGGGGGAAGGACAACAAAUUAAAUGAAAAAAACGGUUCUCAAGAAAUAUACGUUAUCAAUCGAGAUUUAAAAGUGUUGAUUGGAGGGGGUGGAACAAACGCAGAAAAAAUUAAGCGAUGAACAUUGUAGCCGUUGCUCAUAUCGGGAACUCGUUCUGUUUAGCAUUUUUUUUUUAGUUUGUUUAACAUUGACUGCCAUUCUCCCCCACCCCUUCCCCAGAGUUGUUGUAUCCCGCUUCCUUUAAGCAAGGUCACGCUACAGGGGCUGCUGUGAAGAUGAACCUACAGCAUCACUGCGCUGCAUGGAAGCGCGGGACGGCUGUCUCAGUUUUUUUUUUGUCUUCGAAAGGACAUCACAAUCCACAGUGAUGAUUUUCAGUGCUCAGAAAUAUGAGUGAAGAUUGGAUUUUGUUUUUCGGUUCAGUUUACUUGACCAGGUCAGCACCUAAUGUGAUUCCUUAUCUCUUCAGCGAGGACGAUCUAUUUGAACGUCGCUAUGUAGCUAAUUGUAGGUAAUUUUGAAGGGAAAAAAGCAAGAAAGGAAGAACUAUGUUGUAGUGGGAGGCCUCGGGAAAAACAGAGACUGAGGAAGACAGAAAGACAGAGAGCCAUGUUGUUGUUUGCAAAAUACCAGCUGGUCAGAUGAUGAUGGUGAUGAUGGAUUUGGGCUACGACAACAUAAAAUUACCUAUCCUUUUCCACUAUCUUCUAUUGUCUUUAAAACUUCAGGCUUGUAUGUAUGUUGAACUUCUUUCACGCCGUAUGUAGCCAACCGCAUUAAUUGGAGACUUGACUCAGAACACGGGCCCUGAUGUACACCACACAGCAAACGUUUGUGAAUCCGCACAGAAAUCAAAGGAGUGUUUUGACUGGAGUCAAAUCGUCAAACCUGAUGCAAACUAGCUCGGCUAUCAUUUCAACCUCCACUCCCCCCCCCCCCCCCACUGAAAACGCCAUAUGAUCCUGACAGCAAUGUAUAGUGGCCAAGACAUCGGCCGUCCUUUGGGGGAAACGUGGUGAGGCGACAACCUGGUGCUCCCGAACGCACACAGAGCCUUCCUGUGAAGCAGCAGCAGCAGCCUUGUAGGCUGGCAUGUGACAAAACUCCGGAAGUGCGGAGGUUAAGAGUUAGACCUCGGGGGUCCAGCAUGCCAUUUAUGAGAGUAUGAUGAAUCUGUGUGUCACACGCACGGUGACAUCAUGCAUCAGUAAUCCCUGGUUAACCCCUGCUCCUGUUUUUCUAAACUGAAGCAUUUCAGUCUCGCAAAUAGUUUUACCAAGAUGUUAGAUCUUGCUCGAAACUUUUUUUUUGUUGUUAUUGUACUGUAACAAAAAUAGAGCAAAACAACAUUGCAUCAGCGGCAACCAUUUGACCUAUCACGUUCUGCACUUACAUUUAUUUUGCUGUUCGGAAGUUUAGAAAAUAUUCGGCACGUUUCGAUACCCUUUAUUUUGCACAGACUCAUGGAAGCUGCUUAUUUCUUUUAAACAAAGUUAAAAGGGAGGGCUAGAAUAGGAACCAUACAUUUGGUUGUGAGAUUUUUGUGGCCGUUCACAGACGUACUUUAUUUCCAGCAAAUGUUCCGUAGUAAAGCACAUGCCAGCAUUCUGCAAAAAUAACGACGAACGUCACCUCUUUGCUCCAUUUGAAAAGAGAAGUGCUGAUGAGAUUCCACAUUUAAUGGUGGUGGUGACGUUUCUUGGCUUAACUUUGGGUUGACACAUUGUUGCGGUCAUAGAUUCUUCCAAAGGCUCGUGCAAAAUUAAUACCUGGUGAAAAAAAGUUGCGUGAUUAAUUAUUAACGUUUGAGUUUACUUCGACAACGUAUUAAGAGGAGUCUCUUGAAGUUGGCAGAAACAAAAGGGUGAAUUUUAACUAUUUCACUCAUUUUUGUUGGGCGAUUUUUUUUUCUAUUUGCGCAUGUUUAAUUGUCAUCUCCUAAAAUGUACACAAUGUUUAAACAAAAAAAACUAAAACGAGUGUUGGAGUACCAAUCUAUCAUAACACAGAAUAAGUGGUGGAUGCAUAUUGUUUGCGGUUUCAUUUUUGAGGGAUUCCGGGAACUAUGCUGGGCAAUUAUCUGAGAUUUUGGAAAAUAUGUUGGUUCAAUAUGUUCGUUCAAAUUAGCAUUUUAAUACUGUCAUUGUACUUGAGUUUAACCAUCAGCAAUACAUUUAAUACCAAACAGAGAGAAGGCAUGCAUCUUCACAACCUAUACACUUGGGCUUUAAGCAAUAGGUCAGCAAUGAAAAAAAAACGAUUUAUGGCUGAUGAUACAUUGAUGUUUCCAUGUGAA